AUGGUCUCUCGAUUGGGUACUUUGUUAUGUACCGGAUGAUUUGAGGUGAUUUGGAGGUGAGUUUGUGAAAGAGAAGGAGAGGUAGAGAAACAGAGAGAGAUAGGGAGAGAGAUUGGGAGGAAGAAAAUAGGGUUUUAGAAGAAUUUAGAGUAGGGUUUUGGGGAAGGAGAAGAGAAAGGAGUGGAGAAGAAGAGGAUAAUUGGGGAAGAAGACAAGCUAAUUCAUUUCCAUUCCUCAGCCCUAGCUUGCAUUACAUCCUAAUACUUAUACUAGUUAGUUCCGUACAAAAAAGAGAAUUAUUAAAUCUCUGAGGACUAAACAGCAAAAGUGACAAAAUAAGAAGUGGCCUGGUUGGGCCGCCAAUUCGGUGGUAGUUGGGCCCUCUUCCUGGGCUUCCUGAGCUCCUCUGCUGCUUGUCGGGUAUUCGGACUCGGGUCCGUCCUUCUCCGCACUACCCGCAACCCAGCGGGUCUUGGGUUCGCCAUUUCGCCCCGAUCCGAGCCCGCUUUGCUCGAUCCAUGCUUAACGGUAAGUGGGCGUCGGUUCCGGCCUUCUCCGCAUCAUCCACGACCCGGCGGAUAUCGGGUCCGCGUUUUACGCCCGCUCCGGUGAUCCGACCGCCCGAUCCGCCAGCUCUUUUCUUCGCCCCAAACACCCCGGUUCUGUCGGGCUUCCUCCUCCGACCUCGAUCCUCCCAUUUCCCCUUCAUCAUCGAUUAUGCCCUAGAACUGUUGAGCUUGCCUGAGCUCCUUCGAAGGCGCCUUCCCACCGGAGUUCCGCCCGAGCGCCUUCCCGCUGGAUCGCUCCGCCGAGCUCACUCCUCACCAACCUCCUGCUGUCACUUCUCUGCUCUACUUUGUAAAGUUGACAUUUUUACUACUCUCCCAUGCUAACUGCUACUACUACUACUACUUUUACCAUUUAUUCUUCAGGGUCAUUACAAUCCCUUCCCCUUAAGUUCAUCCUUGUCCUCAAGGAUGGAACUUGUUGACUGGUUUGGGGAUCCCAUUUGCUUCCCCUGCGGCACAUUCUUCUUCUUCAAAGUUGCUUCUUUUAAGCCACCUUUGGAAACCUCCUCCGGCUGGCAGCAUGGACGGCGGCCCUGUUGGGGCAAGGGCUCACCCUUGGGCCCUUCAGGAUGUCGCAACUUGCGCGCUGCCGGAUCUCCCCUCGUCAAAAAACUGGGCUGGUUCAGAGAAAUGCAACUAGAGUUUUGGACUACUUCUGUCAGCUCCGCUAUGUUGCUUGUGGAAUAUUGACUCCUAGUGUACAUGUCUUCUCCUAGAGAGACUUUUACUCCUUUUUCUAUCAGCAUGAUAUGUGUUCUCUGCUGUGCUCUAUUUGAUUGCCCUUCAAAAAUGUAUAGUACUUGUCCCCUUCGCUUGAACCAACUCAAAUUUGAGUCCUUCAUAAUAUUUCCAAUAGUAAUCGAGGCAUUAGUUGGAGGGUAAUAGGUAUAUUUACCUUGUAAAAUUCUCUCUCCUGUUGAGAAGCGGCUUUUGGUGUAGGAUCACCACUCUUCAGGUUUCAGCUUCUUGUAACAAUGUGUGGGCCUAUUUUCUCUCUUAGCUCUUAAGCAAACUUCAUAUUCUGGCACUAACUGAUGCACAUCCCUUUCGAUUCCUGACCAUCGAGUGAACUGUUCAAUUCCCUUAUCAACUUGCCACGCCCUGGAAGUAUGAAAUUCAGUUAACAGAUGGUCUUCUUCACUUCGAUUUUGCACAGCUUGCAUCCAUUUGCAUAUAAUCAUGGUAAGCGCUUUGCAUUCCCCUUUUAUGUGCAAGGUAACACCCAAAUUUCUAUCAGAUUCCUGUAGCUUAUCUUGUUCAUAGGUCAGAAAUCGCGAGCAUGGGUGAGGCCUCUUAAGCAUAGUCCCUAGCUCCUUGUAUUCAUUGACAAAGCCCCACACCUGGCAAGCCUCUACCAGAUUAGAAUUUUGGAUUGGCUUUUGGACUGUUAAGUUCUCCGAUCUGGCUUGAUAGUUUUCCACUGUCUUGUUGUGUAUUUGCCUGCAGAAUGCAUCAAUGUCAUCAGUUAGGCACUUGAUGUCAAUCCCCUUCCACUUAUCUGCAACAAACUUCUUCCAAGGGGGUUUGUCCUUGUAGUUAACGAUCUCUUGUUUUUCUAUUUUUGCCUUUCCAGUUUGUAACGGCCCAAUCUUCAUAACAACCCGAUUGUGAUAGCAUCCAAUUUGUAAUGGCCCAAUCUGAGUAGCAUCCAUCGCCAAUUGUAAUUUCGGAGAUUUGGUUGGCUGCGAUGAUGAUUGAGGUGCUACCAAGGGUCGAUCUAGGCCUGAUUUGGUUCCGAGCUGAGUCGCAACCUUCAAUGAUGACUUCGAUCUGAGAACUGGAUGGCGACAAUGAUGAUAGGUUCCACGCCGAAUAGAUCGCUUCCAGAGCUUAUGCUGUUGAUGCUGAUGAUGAAUUUGAUCCAACCAGGGUUGUUGAGGUAGUGGGUUGUUAUCAGGCCAUUGUGGGAAUGCUUCUUCUUCCAUUUCUUGCAGCUUGUGAGUUCCUAGUGGAGUUCCUUCACCCAUGUUUGCUCUGAUAGGUGAUGGAACAAUGUUAUCUCUAAGUUUGCUUCUCUCUGAACUUGAAUGCUCUAUGUUGCGUGUUUCGACAAUUGGAAUUGGCUUGGUCGGAUAUGGUUGAGUUGCAUGCAACCUUAGCAAUCCCUCCGGUUUGCUGGUACUAUCACUCAGCUUUACAUCAUGCCCAUUACUGUCCUCCAUCUGUAGAAUUUCAAGGUGCUUUUGCUCUACUUCCUUCACGGCAGCUGGUUGGUCGAUUACGGAAUUAGUUAGUGAACUAACUCUUUUCUCUAGAGGAAUGGUUAUGGGUAUUAGCUCUUUCUCUUCUUUUGGAACCUGCACUGCUAUCUCUUUUUCUCUAGCAUGCACAAAUCGGCUCCUAAUCAACUCUAGGAGUUGUUCAUGUCUGCGGGCAUUCUCCUGCAUCAUGAUUUCGUGCCUCCUUGCCUCUUCCUUUUGUAGUGCUUCAAUUAAGACAUCUAACUUUUGAUUAACAUCCCGAGCACUUUGUAAUGCUUCUUCAAAGCUUUGAUUAUAGCUAGUGGUUUGUUGCUGCAACUUUGUUCCAUUAACCAUUUUUACUUCAGAUAUGCUUCUCCUUGAAGUGUUUCACUAUGGUACUUGACUGAAUUUCCAAUGGAUUUCUUCUAUUGGCUCCAAUGAACUAUUGAGGUGACUAUGAUGCUCUUUGGGAUCUGAUGACUGUUCCAAUCAAGAGAACACUAACCAGCUGUCUACUCCUUCAAUAUAUUUCCAUUUGUAGCAAUUUAACUAAUUAUAUCUCAACUCUGGAAUUAAAAUUGGGGAACAAAACUUGAUUACUUGGUGCCUGCAAGGUGUUUGAUGAAAUUCCCCUUCACUGGCCCAAUUUUAACUAUGAUACUCUACCAAGAACCUGUUGCUUCUAUGACCCCUCUAUCAAUUUGAUUCAAGUAGCAAUGAUAAAGAUUUCUUGUGAUGUUUAUCAGGUUUGAUCCCUUAUUAACCAAUUCUUGCAUACAUGCAAUCAAUGAUUCAAAAGGAUGCAAAGAUUUCUACAAUACCUGAUGUUAUAGCUUUAUAAAAUCAAAUCGCCUCUCUACUAGUUGCAAUCUGAUACCACCUUGUUAUCGUAGUGGCAAUGUCUCCAGUCGCUACUAUGAUCCUUCCAAUGUAGAUCUGAUGCUACCACUUGAGUUCUUGCUCCAGGUGCUACUCGAGAUCCAUUACUGCUCCAUUCUUGUGAUAUCCCACCAUGAUGCAAGUAUCAGUUUCAUCCCCUCCCUGGGAUCGAAACUGCUCUGAUACCAAUUGUUAUGUACCGGAUGAUUUGAGGUGAUUUGGAGGUGAGUUUGUGAAAGAGAAGGAGAGGUAGAGAAACAGAGAGAGAUAGGGAGAGAGAUUGGGAGGAAGAAAAUAGGGUUUUAGAAGAAUUUAGAGUAGGGUUUUGGGGAAGGAGAAGAGAAAGGAGUGGAGAAGAAGAGGAUAAUUGGGGAAGAAGACAAGCUAAUUCAUUUCCAUUCCUCAGCCCUAGCUUGCAUUACAUCCUAAUACUUAUACUAGUUAGUUCCGUACAAAAAAGAGAAUUAUUAAAUCUCUGAGGACUAAACAGCAAAAGUGACAAAAUAAGAAGUGGCCUGGUUGGGCCGCCAAUUCGGUGGUAGUUGGGCCCUCUUCCUGGGCUUCCUGAGCUCCUCUGCUGCUUGUCGGGUAUUCGGACUCGGGUCCGUCCUUCUCCGCACUACCCGCAACCCAGCGGGUCUUGGGUUCGCCAUUUCGCCCCGAUCCGAGCCCGCUUUGCCCGAUCCAUGCUUAACGGUAAGUGGGCGUCGGUUCCGGCCUUCUCCGCAUCAUCCACGACCCGGCGGAUAUCGGGUCUGCAUUUUACGCCCGCUCCGGUGAUCCGACCGCCCGAUCCGCCAGCUCUUUUCUUC
Molecule: long non-coding RNA, 4443 nt
Filed under: Ananas comosus (pineapple)
Lineage: Eukaryota; Viridiplantae; Streptophyta; Magnoliopsida; Poales; Bromeliaceae
Description: long non-coding RNA (ACOM_LNC031497)
Source: RNAcentral